RNAcentral lists this ribosomal RNA (345 nucleotides) under uncultured bacterium. RNAcentral describes it as "bacterial SSU rRNA". It matches the Rfam family "Bacterial small subunit ribosomal RNA", at positions 8 to 334 of the family's 1533-position model. The record is from RNAcentral.
AGGGUUUGAUUAUGGCUCAGGAUGAACGCUGGCGGCGUGCUUAACACAUGCAAGUCGAACGAAGCACUUUAUUAUGAUUUCUUCGGAAUGACGAUUUAGUGACUGAGUGGCGGACGGGUGAGUAACGCGUGGGUAACCUGCCUUAUACAGGGGGAUAACAGUUAGAAAUGACUGCUAAUACCGCAUAAGCGCACAGGAUUGCAUGAUCUGGUGUGAAAAACUCCGGUGGUAUAAGAUGGACCCGCGUCUGAUUAGCUGGUUGGUGAGGUAACGGCCCACCAAGGCGACGAUCAGUAGCCGACCUGAGAGGGUGACCGGCCACAUUGGGACUGAGACACGGCCCAA